GACGAACGCUGGCGGCGUGCCUAAUACAUGCAAGUAGAACGCUGAAGAGAGGAGCUUGCUCUUCUUUGAUGAGUUGCGAACGGGUGAGUAACGCGUAGGUAACCUGCCUUGUAGUGGGGGAUAACUAUUGGAAACGAUAGCUAAUACCGUAUAACAAUAUGUGACACAUUUCUUUUUUUUGAAAGUGGCAAUUUCUCCACUACAAGAUGGACCUGCGUUGUAUUAGCUAGUAGGUGAGGUAACGGCUCACCUAGGCGACGAUACAUAGCCGACCUGACAGGGUGAGCGGCCAGACUGGGACUGAGACACGGCCCAGACUCCUACGGGAGGCAGCAGUAGGGAAUCUUCGGCAAUGGGGGCAACCCUGACCGAGACACGCCGCGUGAGUGAAGAAGGAUGUCGGAUCGUAAAGCUCUGUUGUAAGUCAAGAACGAGUGUGAGAGUGGAAAGUUCACACUGUGACGGUAGCUGACCAGAAAGGGACGGCUAACUACGUG
RNAcentral lists this ribosomal RNA (497 nucleotides) under uncultured bacterium. RNAcentral's name for it is "partial 16S ribosomal RNA". It matches the Rfam family "Bacterial small subunit ribosomal RNA", at positions 28 to 507 of the family's 1533-position model. The record is from RNAcentral.